UACGUAGGUCCCGAGCGUUGUCCGGAUUUAUUGGGCGUAAAGCGAGCGCAGGUGGUUUAUUAAGUAUGGUGUAAAAGGCAGUGGCUCAACCAUUGUAUGCAUUGGAAACUGGUAGACUUGAGUGCAGGAGAGGAGAGUGGAAUUCCAUGUGUAGCGGUGAAAUGCGUAGAUAUAUGGAGGAACACCGGUGGCGAAAGCGGCUCUCUGGCCUGUAACUGACACUGAGGCUCGAAAGCGUGGGGAGCAAACAGG
RNAcentral lists this ribosomal RNA (252 nucleotides) under uncultured bacterium. RNAcentral's name for it is "partial 16S ribosomal RNA". It matches the Rfam family "Bacterial small subunit ribosomal RNA", at positions 524 to 776 of the family's 1533-position model. The record is from RNAcentral.